Molecule: ribosomal RNA, 253 nt
Filed under: uncultured bacterium
Lineage: Bacteria
Description: partial 16S ribosomal RNA
Rfam family: Bacterial small subunit ribosomal RNA
Source: RNAcentral
UACGGAGGGCGCGAGCGUUACCCGGAUUUACUGGGCGUAAAGGGCGUGUAGGCGGUCUGGGGCGUCCCAUGUGAAAGGCCACGGCUCAACCGUGGAGGAGCGUGGGAUACGCUCAGGCUAGACGGUGGGAGAGGGUGGUGGAAUUCCCGGAGUAGCGGUGAAAUGCGCAGAUACCGGGAGGAACGCCGAUGGCGAAGGCAGCCACCUGGCUCACUGGUGACGCUGAGGAGCGAAAGCGUGGGGAGCAAACCGG